This 373-nucleotide ribosomal RNA is filed under the name uncultured organism. RNAcentral describes it as "partial 16S ribosomal RNA". It matches the Rfam family "Bacterial small subunit ribosomal RNA", at positions 527 to 896 of the family's 1533-position model. The record is from RNAcentral.
GUAGGUGGCAAGCGUUGUCCGGAAUUAUUGGGCGUAAAGCGCGCGCAGGUGGUUCUUUAAGUCUGAUGUGAAAGCCCCCGGCUCAACCGGGGAGGGUCAUUGGAAACUGGGGAACUUGAGUGCAGGAGAGGAAUGUGGAAUUCCACGUGUAGCGGUGAAAUGCGUAGAUAUGUGGAGGAACACCAGUGGCGAAGGCGACUUUCUGGCCUGUAACUGACACUGAGGCGCGAAAGCGUGGGGAGCAAACAGGGAUUAGAUACCCUGGUAGUCCACGCCGUAAACGAUGAGUGCUAAGUGUUGGGGGGGUUUCCCGCCCCUCAGUGCUGCAGCUAACGCAUUAAGCACUCCGCCUGGGGAUACGGUCGCAAGACUG